Molecule: small nuclear RNA, 21 nt
Filed under: Arabidopsis thaliana (thale cress)
Lineage: Eukaryota; Viridiplantae; Streptophyta; Magnoliopsida; Brassicales; Brassicaceae
Description: snRNA_07314
Source: RNAcentral
AACCACAGUUAGAAGGUCCAG